RNAcentral lists this ribosomal RNA (497 nucleotides) under uncultured bacterium. RNAcentral describes it as "partial 16S ribosomal RNA". It matches the Rfam family "Bacterial small subunit ribosomal RNA", at positions 28 to 507 of the family's 1533-position model. The record is from RNAcentral.
GAUGAACGCUGGCGGCGUGCCUAAGACAUGCAAGGCGAGCGAACAGACGAGGAGCUGGCUCCGUGGACGGGAGCGGCGGACGGGUGAGGAACACGUAGGGAACCGACCGAGAAGACUGGGAUAACUGCGGGAAACCGGAGCUAAUACCGGAUAAUAUUUCGAACCGCAUGGUUCGAUAGUGAAAGAUGGCUUUGCUAUCACUUAUAGAUGGACCUGCGCCGUAUUAGCUAGUUGGUAAGGUAACGCCUUACAACGGCAACGAUACGUAGCAAACCUGAAAGGGUGAUCGGCCACACUGGAACUGAGACACGGUCCAGACUCCUACGGGAGGCAGCAGUAGGGAAUCUUCCGCAAUGGGCGAAAGCCUGACGGAGCAACGCCGCGUGAGUGAUGAAGGUCUUCGGAUCGUAAAACUCUGUUAUUAGGGAAGAACAAACGUGUAAGUAACUGUGCACGUCUUGACGGUACCUAAUCAGAAAGCCACGGCUAACUACGUG